CAUGCUAGUGCUUGACAUUCCAAAUAAGCACAAAGUGAGGUCACAUGGUCAAAAGAGAGGGUUAUCCACUGUCACAUAACCUAAAUAUUGUACCACAUUGUCUUACUUUCCACAUACAUUGUCACCAAACUAGGGUAGGGAGGUGGAAUGCGCAUUCACCAAAAGUGCCACAAGAUGUUAACUAUUAAUCAGAUCAUUUAACAAGUAUCAACAUGAAGUCUAG
RNAcentral lists this unclassified non-coding RNA (223 nucleotides) under Hevea brasiliensis (rubber tree). Lineage: Eukaryota; Viridiplantae; Streptophyta; Magnoliopsida; Malpighiales; Euphorbiaceae. The record is from RNAcentral.